GAUGAACGCUGGCGGCGUGCCUAAUACAUGCAAGUCGAGCAAACAGACGAGGAGCUUGCUCCUCUGACGUUAGCGGCGGACGGGUGAGUAACACGUGGAUAACCUACCUAUAAGACUGGGAUAACUUCGGGAAACCGGAGCUAAUACCGGAUAAUAUAUUGAACCGCAUGGUUCAAUAGUGAAAGACGGUUUUGCUGUCACUUAUAGAUGGAUCCGCGCCGCAUUAGCUAGUUGGUAAGGUAACGGCUUACCAAGGCAACGAUGCGUAGCCGACCUGAGAGGGUGAUCGGCCACACUGGAACUGAGACACGGUACAGACUCCUACGGGAGGCAGCAGUAGGGAAUCUUCCGCAAUGGGCGAAAGCCUGACGGAGCAACGCCGCGUGAGUGAUGAAGGUCUUCGGAUCGUAAAACUCUGUUAUUAGGGAAGAACAAAUGUGUAAGUAACUAUGCACGUCUUGACGGUACCUAAUCAGAAAGCCACGGCUAACUACGUG
Molecule: ribosomal RNA, 497 nt
Filed under: uncultured bacterium
Lineage: Bacteria
Description: partial 16S ribosomal RNA
Rfam family: Bacterial small subunit ribosomal RNA
Source: RNAcentral